AACCUGGUUGAUCCUGCCAGUAGUCAUAUGCUUGUCUUAAGGAUUAAGCCAUGCAUGUCUCAGUACAAACGAUUUUGUACAGUGAAACUGCGAAUGGCUCAUUACAACAGUUAUAGUUUAUUUGAUCGUGCGGCGCUACGUGGAUAACCGUAGGAAUUCUAGAGCUAAUACAUGCACCAUUGCUUUUUCUUUUUAUAAAUAACUUUUUUAAAAGUUGGUUAUAA
RNAcentral lists this ribosomal RNA (224 nucleotides) under uncultured marine eukaryote. RNAcentral's name for it is "partial 18S ribosomal RNA". It matches the Rfam family "Eukaryotic small subunit ribosomal RNA", at positions 1 to 225 of the family's 1831-position model. The record is from RNAcentral.